Hypomesus transpacificus is the source of this 757-nucleotide long non-coding RNA. RefSeq lists it as uncharacterized. The record is from RefSeq and is a predicted model, not a curated record. The transcript has 2 exons. NCBI's taxonomy places the organism in Eukaryota, Metazoa, Chordata, Actinopteri, Osmeriformes, Osmeridae.
AGGGGGGGGGGGGACACACGGCUAAACACAGGAGAAGGGGGCGGGGAACAAGCUUUCCUGGCCGUGUUACAGAAGCACAACACACAAACAUACCAUCAACAGCACCAGCCAUGUUCACUAAGGUGCUGCAGUACUCUACUCAGAGCUAUGUUCAAUAAGGUGCUGUAGUACUCUACUCAGAGCCAUGUUCACUAAGGUGCUGUAGUACCCUACUCAGAGCCAUGUUCACUAAGGUGCUGUAGGACUCUCAAUGUUCACUAAGGUGCUGUAGUACCCUACUCAGAGCCAUGUUCACUAAGGUGAACUAUCAGUCUGUUUUGGUGUGAGAUAGUUGAGCAGAACUGCUGGGCUUAUAGACAAGAGAUGAAGGGAGAGAGAGAAUGUCAGGGGUGAGAGGGGGGAAGAGGACAAGUGGACAGGGAGAGGGAGAGAGAGAGGGAGGGAGGGAGAACAGUAAAGCCACAGAGAGACCCAGAGACCCACUACUCUGGUCUGUUCUCCAGAGGACCUCGCUGAAGACCAGCCGUCCAGGGUUCCAGCCAGACCUGGAGAGAUGAACUCACAGCAGGUCACCUGCAGGAAGUCCUCCCUCCUGUCAGAGUCUGGGCUGGUCCAGCAGGUCCCCACGCUCUCUGCUCUAGCACCUACUACGUUACUGACAUGGAGGGAUCUGCUCAAUCUCAGACAGGCAGGCAGCCAGACAGGCAGGCAGACAGGCAGCUAGACAGGCAGGCAGGCAGGUAGACAGGUGUGGAGG